UACGGGGGGGGCAAGCGUUGUUCGGAAUUAUUGGGCGUAAAGAGCUUGUAGGCGGUUUGUCGCGUCUGCCGUGAAAAUCCGGGGCUCAACCCCGGACUUGCGGUGGGUACGGGCAGACUAGAGUGUGGUAGGGGAGACUGGAAUUCCUGGUGUAGCGGUGAAAUGCGCAGAUAUCAGGAGGAACACCGAUGGCGAAGGCAGGUCUCUGGGCCACUACUGACGCUGAGACGCGAAAGCGUGGGGAGCGAACAGG
RNAcentral lists this ribosomal RNA (253 nucleotides) under uncultured bacterium. RNAcentral describes it as "partial 16S ribosomal RNA". It matches the Rfam family "Bacterial small subunit ribosomal RNA", at positions 524 to 776 of the family's 1533-position model. The record is from RNAcentral.